AAAAUGUGCUUCAGACGACACACUUCAGACGACAUAAGUUUUGUUUUAUGUCGUCUGAGUUUUUCAGACGACAUAAUUUUUUUUUGUGUUGUCUGAAUAUAGACUAAAACCAUACUCGUUCAAUUUGAAAAAAUGGUGAGCAUUCAGACAACACAUUUGUGUAGUUGUAAAAGAUGAUGAUUUCCUAUCUCAAAUGCGGAGGGAUAUCCAAAAUUUGAUCAAGUACUUUUCCCUCUCAAAUAGCCGAACUCUAGUUGACUAGAAAAUGUUGUGACAUUUAGACAACAUUUAAAUGUCGUCUGAGUGUGGAGCUUGUUUUAAAAUUUUUGAAGUUAUUUUGACUUGUGCUUUUUUACAUAGAUCCCUCGUAAUUAAAUCAUUUUCUGUCCUUCUCACUCCAACACCAGCCCGCGCGCUCUCUCUUUCUCACUCAGCUCGACCUAGAACCCGCGAAACUGGAAAACUCAAACACCAGCCUCUCUCCUUCUCACUCAGCUCUCUCAGAUCUCUCAGAUCUCGAUUCUCACUCUCUCCUCUCUCCUUCAUCUUCUCACUCUCUCGAUUCUUCUUGGUCUCUCCUUCUUCUUCUUAGCCUCUACUUCAUCUUUCGCGACCGGAUUAGUGGACCUCCCCAGCAACAACAGAGCUGUUUUUAAUUCGGAUAUUGGGAAACUUGGUGCUACAAAAGGAUUUGCUGGGAAGGAUGUAGUGAUUGUGGCGGCCUACCGAACUGCCAUUUACAAAGCAAAGCGAGGCGGUUUUAAGGAUACUUUAGCUGAUGAUUUACUGGCACCUGUUUUGAAGGUAGGAGGGUUUGUUGUUGUCGUGCUUUUCAGAUUUCACCGUUGGGUUUUGAUAGAUAUGGAGGAUGAAGUUAGAGAAUUGGGGGAAAGAAGAGGAACUUCAAGUUUGGAUGCCCAAGGCUGAGAAGGUUGUAGGGAUUCAAGGGGGAUGCUUGGCCUACAUUACCUGUUGAAGAUCUUGCUGACUUUUCCUUCCAGACAACGCCUAUGUAUAUAGAUGUGGAUGAUGGGAGAACUAAGGCCACGAAUAUAGGACUGCAACAGGACUAUUGUCUUGUGCCAAGUGCCAAGAGAUUUUAUUCUCCUAUAUUCUUUCCUGACGAGGAAUCUAUCAAAGAAAGUGAUGGUCUUCUUCUCUUCUUGCAACUCAGUUUCUUGGAAACAAUAAGUUGAAUGGCGCUCUCUCUGAAUCGAAAAGCUCAUCUCUUCUCAAUGUAUGAGUUAAAUGCCUCACUAAGCUGCACAUGAGUUAAAUGCAGACGAGUAGACCACCUACCAGAUUUGCAGCAAAGGUUUUUGUUCUUUUUUCUGCAAUAUCUUGUUCCUCAUUGAGAAUGAAGACUAGUUGCUCUUGUAAUAUGCAGCAUAAGUCUAUAUGGGGGUCAAGAAAGAUUUGUGUCUCUGCAAUGGGUCAGCAGGUUUGUGUCUCUGCAAGCUCACUGGCCAUUCCGUUUUCUAUGACCACUUCUAUGAUUUGGGUGAUUCCGUUCAUGAUCAGAUUGUGAAACUAGUACAGCAGUACAGCAGUAUAGCUAGCUAGUUCCUUUAUUAACUUGUGUCUAGUAGAAAUUUUUCAUUCAUUAAGCAUUUAGACUUGUCUUCAGAUCCAGAUUAGUAUAUAUGAGUUAUUUUGAACUGAAGUUCAUGAUUAAGUUUGUGUACAUGAGAUACUAGUGGAUUAAUGGAAAUUGCAAUGAAUGAUUUUGAAUGUGGAUUUUAUGGUUUCAUACUUUCA
Molecule: long non-coding RNA, 1758 nt
Organism: Rosa rugosa (rugosa rose)
Lineage: Eukaryota; Viridiplantae; Streptophyta; Magnoliopsida; Rosales; Rosaceae
Exons: 9
Source: RefSeq, a predicted model, not a curated record